AAAACCAUGCAAAAGCUCAUCCAGAGGAAAACCAUACAAUGCAUAGUCAAUUACUUAGUCCAGAUAAUGAAAUAGUCACAUCCAUCAGUUGACAUACAUUUAAUGGUUAAUGAUCACACACGGAAAGCUUUUUCUUUCUUUUUAUUUUUAUUAUUUUCGCAUUUUUACAAGAGAGAAAUAGAUCAACUUGAUUCAGGAGGCUUUUCUUUUGGAUGUUUGGAGGCAUAAUGAUCACCAAGCUGAUUAC
This 247-nucleotide unclassified non-coding RNA is filed under the name Hevea brasiliensis (rubber tree). The record is from RNAcentral. Lineage: Eukaryota; Viridiplantae; Streptophyta; Magnoliopsida; Malpighiales; Euphorbiaceae.